ACUUUUGUAGUGUAUUUAACACAUUACAUUUUCAUUGUAAAGCUAAAGAAAUUCUUUCUAAAGUA
This 65-nucleotide transfer RNA is filed under the name Thysanoessa raschii. RNAcentral's name for it is "tRNA-Glu". The record is from RNAcentral. Lineage: Eukaryota; Metazoa; Arthropoda; Malacostraca; Euphausiacea; Euphausiidae.